UUGUGAGUGACUUCAGCUGUCUCUUCAAGUGACAUCUAGCUACUUGAGAAAGGAGUGAUGACGAAAGUUCUUUGGACAGAAAACUUUCGCUGACAAGAAGGUGACAGGUCCUUGCACAGCUGGUCUCUGAUAUGCCUCAGAACGGACCCACAGAGUGACUAAUUUGAGCUUUGCAGUAGCUGGGAGGAAGUACAGGGCCCAUGCAUGCUGAGAGCUUGAAGAGGUCUGUAAGACAGGCUGGCAGUGGACACGGGCUGGAGGAACCCAUUGUUGGUGGGCAAAGGCCAGGAAACUUCGUUUGUUUAGAACAUGAGAACAUUGAACAUGUUCAUGGAUCUUAUUUGGUCAUCCAGGCUGGACUGCAGUGGUGUGAUCAUAGCUCACUGCAGCCUCAAACUGCUGGACUCCAGUGAUCUUCCAGCCUCAGCCUCCCCCGGUAGCAAGGACUACAGGUCUCACUCUCUGUCGCCCAGCCUGGAGUGCAGUGGCAUCAUCUGAGCUCACUACAACCUCCGCCUCCCGGGUUCAAGCGAUUCUCCUGCCUCAGCCUCCUGAGUAGCUGGGACUACAGGCACGCGCCACCACGCCCAGCUAAUUUUCGUAUUUUUAAUAGACAUGGGGUUUCACCAUGUUGGCCAGGCUGCUCUUGAACUGCUAACCUCAAGUGAUCCACCAGCGUUGGCCUCUCAAAGUACUAGGAUUACAGUGCUAGGAGCCACCAUGCCCGGCCGCCUCUCUUUUCUUUUACACAUGAAGAAAAAGUGGUCAGAGAAGUUAACUUGGUCAGUGCCAAAAGCACUGGAAGUGAGUAGGACCAAGCUUUUCAUCUAGAUUUGUUUGUUAGACUCUAAAUCCAAAUUCACAACAAGAUCAGAAUAUGAGAAACCUAAGGAACAAAAUUCUAGGAAUCAUUUCUAGAAACUGUGGCUAUUGAAAAAGCACAGACCUAGGGAAUCAAAUUAUUUUCCCUGCCACCAGCACAUGGGUAGGCCUGUGACAAAUUCCAUGCUCUGGACCCCAGAUUCCUCAGUGAGAAUAGAAGGGGCUAGAGACAUCAGGGAAUUGGAUUUGGUGACUUUAAUACCCACUCAGCUCCAAAGCAUUCUUGAAUGAUGCACGAUUUAUGAAUAUAUAUAUUGAAAUUUACUGAUGGGUGAACAGCUCUCAACAUGAGAUUUUUGUUGUAUGCCUUAAAAAAGAUUAUACAUAAAUAUGCGUGUGUGUGUGUAUGUAUGUUUCGAUGUAUAUGAACCCAUGAUCUGAAAAAUGGCCACUGUGGCUUGUGGAAACCUAUUAAUCUCUGCUGUUCCACCCAACAUCCUCAGAGAAAAAAAUAAACAACUUUUUGAAAGUGCUGCCAUGGGGUCAGACCAAAUACUGUGGCCACUUCCAAGGGGUUUGCCUUGAUUUGCCUGGAUUCCUGUUCAUGUGACAUCUGCCUUCUAAUUCAAGGAUAUGAUCAAUUCAAUGUGUGAGUUAUCAAUCAAGGACUGGCAACAGUGAUGCUGAACAAGCCUGGUGGAAGGAAAGAGAAGGCAGGCCAGAGCCCAGACAGACGCAUUCACAAACCUUACAAAGAGGACAGGCUAAUUAGGGGCUGUAGUUCUCCCUCUCUUUAUAGUUGGUAUAAGAGGAGUGGUAAUCGUAGUGUCCAAAAAUAUAUGGGCUACAUAGUUGCUUAGUAAGCUGUGGGUAUGUGGUUUCUUCUGCAAGGUGCUUUCUUUCUGAUAAAGAGAUUACGUUGUUUGUUUGUUCAUUUAUUGAACAUAUUUACACUUACACACACACACACACACACACACAAUGUUCCAGAUACCGUACUUGGCAAUGGUAGUUAGACCUUGCUCUUGCAAAAUUUAUAAUGAAGUUGGGAAGUGUGGUUUGAUCCCUCAAAGUGUCCAAAUCCUAAUCCCCAG
This 1916-nucleotide long non-coding RNA is filed under the name Homo sapiens (human). RNAcentral's name for it is "HSALNT0234083". The record is from RNAcentral. Lineage: Eukaryota; Metazoa; Chordata; Mammalia; Primates; Hominidae.